UUGACCUCGAANCAGGUAGGGUUACCCGCUGAACUUAAGCAUAUCAAUAAGCGGAGGAAAAGAAACCAACAGGGAUUGCCUUAGUAACGGCGAGUGAAGCGGCAACAGCUCAAAUUUGAAAUCUGGCGUCUUCGGCGUCCGAGUUGUAAUUUGCAGAGGAUGCUUUUGGCGACGUGCCUUCCGAGUUCCCUGGAACGGGACGCCAAAGAGGGUGAGAGCCCCGUACGGUCUGGUGCCGAGCCGCUGUAAAGCUCCUUCGACGAGUCGAGUAGUUUGGGAAUGCUGCUCUAAAUGGGAGGUAAACUCCUUCUAAAGCUAAAUAUUGGCCAGAGACCGAUAGCGCACAAGUAGAGUGAUCGAAAGAUGAAAAGCACUUUGAAAAGAGAGUCAAAUAGCACGUGAAAUUGUUGAAAGGGAAGCGCUUAUGACCAGACUUGGGCUUGGUAGUUCAGCCGUCCUUUUGGGCGGUGUAUUCUGCCGGUUCAGGCCAGCAUCAGUUGCUGUUGGGACAGAAAAGCCUGGGAAUGUGGCUCUUCGGAGUGUUAUAGCCCAUGGCGUAAUUUCCCUCCGGCGACUGAGGUUAGCGUUCUUCACGGAUGCUGGCGUAAUGGUUUUCAACGACCCGUCUUGAAACACGGACCAAGGAGUCGUCCUGCUAUGCGAGUGUUCGGGUGUCAAACCCCUACGCGUAAUGAAAGUGAACGGAGGUGAGAGCUUCGGCGCAUCAUCGACCGAUCCUGAUGUUCUCGGAUGGAUUUGAGUAAGAGCAUAGCGGGCCGGACCCGAAAGAAGGUGAACUAUGCUUGGAUAGGGCAAAGCCAGAGGAAACUCUGGUGGAGGCUCGCAGCGGUUCUGACGUGCAAAUCGAUCGUCAAAUCUGAGCAUGGGGGCGAAAGACUAAUCGAACCUUCUAGUAGCUGGUUUCCACCGAAGUUUCCCUCAGGAUAGCAGUGCUGAUACUCAGUUUUAUGAGGUAAAGCGAAUGAUUAGGGACUCGGGGGCGCUAUUUAGCCUUCAUCCAUUCUCAAACUUUAAAUAUGUAAGAAGUCUUUGUUGCUUUAGUGAACGAAGAACUUUGAAUGUACAGCACUAGUGGGCCAUUUUUGGUAAGCAGAACUGGCGAUGCGGGAUGAACCGAUCGCGAGGUUAAGGUGCCGGAGUAGUCGCUCAUCAGACACCACAAAAGGUGUUAUCACAUCUUGACAGCAGGACGGUGGCCAUGGAAGUCGGAAUCCGCUAAGGACUGUGUAACAACUCACCUGCCGAAUGUGAUAGCCCUGAA
Molecule: ribosomal RNA, 1282 nt
Filed under: Tirispora unicaudata
Lineage: Eukaryota; Fungi; Ascomycota; Sordariomycetes; Microascales; Halosphaeriaceae
Description: eukaryotic LSU rRNA
Rfam family: Eukaryotic large subunit ribosomal RNA
Source: RNAcentral